CUACGGGAGGCAGCAGUAGGGAAUCUUCCGCAAUGGACGAAAGUCUGACGGAGCAACGCCGCGUGAACGAUGAAGGCCUUCGGGUCGUAAAGUUCUGUUGUCAGGGAAGAACAAGUACCGGAGUAACUGCCGGUACCUUGACGGUACCUGACCAGAAAGCCACGGCUAACUACGUGCCAGCAGCCGCGGUAAUACGUAGGUGGCAAGCGUUGUCCGGAAUUAUUGGGCGUAAAGCGCGCGCAGGCGGUUCCUUAAGUCUGAUGUGAAAGCCCCCGGCUCAACCGGGGAGGGUCAUUGGAAACUGGGGAACUUGAGUGCAGAAGAGGAGAGCGGAAUUCCACGUGUAGCGGUGAAAUGCGUAGAGAUGUGGAGGAACACCAGUGGCGAAGGCGGCUCUCUGGUCUGUAACUGACGCUGAGGCGCGAAAGCGUGGGGAGCGAACAGGAUUAGAUACCCUGGUAGUCCACGCCGUAAACGAUGAGUGCUAAGUGUUAGAGGGUUUCCGCCCUUUAGUGCUGCAGCAAACGCAUUAAGCACUCCGCCUGGGGAGUACGGCCGCAAGGCUGAAACUUAAAGGAAUUGACGG
This 586-nucleotide ribosomal RNA is filed under the name uncultured bacterium. Its description in RNAcentral is "bacterial SSU rRNA". It matches the Rfam family "Bacterial small subunit ribosomal RNA", at positions 339 to 916 of the family's 1533-position model. The record is from RNAcentral.